GGCCUUGACAUACUAAGAACUUUCCAGAGAUGGAUUGGUGCCUUCGGGAACUUAGAUACAGGUGCUGCAUGGCUGUCGUCAGCUCGUGUCGUGAGAUGUUGGGUUAAGUCCGCAACGAGCGCAACCCUUUUCCUUAUUUGCCAGCGGGUAAUGCCGGGAACUUUAAGGAUACUGCCAGUGACAAACUGGAGGAAGGCGGGGACGACGUCAAGUCAUCAUGGCCCUUACGGCCAGGGCUACACACGUGCUACAAUGGUCGGUACAAAGGGUUGCUACCUCGCGAGAGGAUGCUAAUCUCAAAAAGCCGAUCGUGGUCCGGAUCGCAGUCUGCAACUCGACUGCGUGAAGUCGGAAUCGCUAGUAAUCGCGGAUCAGAAUGCCGCGGUGAAUACGUUCCCGGGCCUUGUACACACCGCCCGUCACACCAUGGGAGUUUGUUGCACCAGAAGUAGGUAGUCUAACCGCAAGGAGGACGCUUACCACGGUGUGGCCGAUGACUGGGGUGAAGUCGUAACAAGGUAGGCGUAGAUGA
RNAcentral lists this ribosomal RNA (532 nucleotides) under uncultured bacterium. RNAcentral's name for it is "bacterial SSU rRNA". It matches the Rfam family "Bacterial small subunit ribosomal RNA", at positions 977 to 1509 of the family's 1533-position model. The record is from RNAcentral.